RNAcentral lists this ribosomal RNA (283 nucleotides) under Actinomyces israelii. Its description in RNAcentral is "partial 16S ribosomal RNA". It matches the Rfam family "Bacterial small subunit ribosomal RNA", at positions 149 to 415 of the family's 1533-position model. Lineage: Bacteria; Bacillati; Actinomycetota; Actinomycetes; Actinomycetales; Actinomycetaceae. The record is from RNAcentral.
CAGUUAAUACAGCGGUAAUACGGGAUGUUCUGGCUGCCUCGCAUGGGGUGGUUUGGAAAGAUUCGGCCUGGUUUUGGUUGUUUUGGUGGGGGAUGGUCUCGCGGCUUAUCAGCUUGUUGGUGGGGUGAUGGCCUACCAAGGCGGUGACGGGUAGCCGGCCUGAGAGGGUGGACGGUCACACUGGGACUGAGACACGGGCCAGACUCCUGCGGGAGGCAGCAGAGGGGGAUUUUGCACAAUGGGCACAAGCCUGAUGCAGCGACGCCGCGUCACGGAUGGAGGC